AGUGAACGCUGGCGGCAGGCCUAACACAUGCAAGUCGAGCGGCAGCGCGGGGGCAACCCUGGCGGCGAGCGGCGGACGGGUGAGGAAUUCGUCGGAAUCUGCCUUUUUGUGGGGGAUAACGUAGGGAAACUUACGCUAAUACCGCAUACGUCCUACGGGGGAAAGUGGGGGACCGCAAGGCCUCACGCAGAAAGAUGAGCCGACGACCGAUUAGCUAGUUGGUGGGGUAAAGGCCCACCAAGGCGACGAUCGGUAGCUGGUCUGAGAGGAUGAUCAGCCACACUGGGACUGAGACACGGCCCAGACUCCUACGGGAGGCAGCAGUGGGGAAUAUUGGACAAAGGGCGCAAGCCUGAUCCAGCCAUGCCGCGUGUGUGAAGAAGGCCUUCGGGUUGUAAAGCACUUUUGUCCGGAAAGAAAUCCCUGGAGCUAAUACCUUCGGGGGAUGACGGUACCGGAAGAAUAAGCACCGGCUAACUUCGUG
This 484-nucleotide ribosomal RNA is filed under the name uncultured bacterium. Its description in RNAcentral is "partial 16S ribosomal RNA". It matches the Rfam family "Bacterial small subunit ribosomal RNA", at positions 29 to 507 of the family's 1533-position model. The record is from RNAcentral.